This 509-nucleotide ribosomal RNA is filed under the name Escherichia coli. RNAcentral describes it as "partial 23S ribosomal RNA". It matches the Rfam family "Bacterial large subunit ribosomal RNA", at positions 2259 to 2767 of the family's 2925-position model. RNAcentral also lists the same sequence under 4 other names. The record is from RNAcentral. Lineage: Bacteria; Pseudomonadati; Pseudomonadota; Gammaproteobacteria; Enterobacterales; Enterobacteriaceae.
UGGUGGGUAGUUUGACUGGGGCGGUCUCCUCCUAAAGAGUAACGGAGGAGCACGAAGGUUGGCUAAUCCUGGUCGGACAUCAGGAGGUUAGUGCAAUGGCAUAAGCCAGCUUGACUGCGAGCGUGACGGCGCGAGCAGGUGCGAAAGCAGGUCAUAGUGAUCCGGUGGUUCUGAAUGGAAGGGCCAUCGCUCAACGGAUAAAAGGUACUCCGGGGAUAACAGGCUGAUACCGCCCAAGAGUUCAUAUCGACGGCGGUGUUUGGCACCUCGAUGUCGGCUCAUCACAUCCUGGGGCUGAAGUAGGUCCCAAGGGUAUGGCUGUUCGCCAUUUAAAGUGGUACGCGAGCUGGGUUUAGAACGUCGUGAGACAGUUCGGUCCCUAUCUGCCGUGGGCGCUGGAGAACUGAGGGGGGCUGCUCCUAGUACGAGAGGACCGGAGUGGACGCAUCACUGGUGUUCGGGUUGUCAUGCCAAUGGCACUGCCCGGUAGCUAAAUGCGGAAGAGAUAA